CCUACGGGGGGCAGCAGUGGGGAAUAUUGGGCAAUGGGCGCAAGCCUGACCCAGCAACGCCGCGUGAAGGAAGAAGGCUUUCGGGUUGUAAACUUCUUUUGGCAGGGAAGAGGAGAAGACGGUACCUGACGAAUAAGCCACGGCUAACUACGUGCCAGCAGCCGCGGUAAUACGUAGGUGGCAAGCGUUGUCCGGAUUUACUGGGUGUAAAGGGCGUGUAGCCGGGUUGACAAGUCAGCUGUGAAAUCCUGCGGCUUAACCGCAGAACUGCAUUUGAAACUGUUGAUCUUGAGUACUGGAGAGGCAGCCGGAAUUCCUCGUGUAGCGGUGAAAUGCGUAGAUAUUAGGAGGAACCCCAGUGGCGAAGGCGGUCUGCUGGACAGCAACUGACGGUGAGGCGCGAAAGCGUGGGGAGCAAACAGGAUUAGAUACCCUAGUAGUC
This 442-nucleotide ribosomal RNA is filed under the name uncultured bacterium. RNAcentral's name for it is "partial 16S ribosomal RNA". It matches the Rfam family "Bacterial small subunit ribosomal RNA", at positions 338 to 795 of the family's 1533-position model. The record is from RNAcentral.